This 402-nucleotide ribosomal RNA is filed under the name uncultured bacterium. RNAcentral's name for it is "bacterial SSU rRNA". It matches the Rfam family "Bacterial small subunit ribosomal RNA", at positions 355 to 774 of the family's 1533-position model. The record is from RNAcentral.
UGGGGAAUCUUAGACAAUGGGGGAAACCCUGAUCUAGCCAUGCCGCGUGUGUGACGAAGGCCCUAGGGUCGUAAAGCACUUUCACCGGGGAAGAUAAUGACGGUACCCGGAGAAGAAACCCCGGCUAACUCCGUGCCAGCAGCCGCGGUAAUACGGAGGGGGUUAGCGUUGUUCGGAAUUACUGGGCGUAAAGCGCGCGUAGGCGGGCUGUUAAGUCGGGGGUGAAAUCCCGGGGCUCAACCCCGGAACUGCCUUCGAUACUGGCAGCCUAGAGUUCGAGAGAGGUGAGUGGAACUCCGAGUGUAGAGGUGAAAUUCGUAGAUAUUCGGAAGAACACCAGUGGCGAAGGCGGCUCACUGGCUCGAUACUGACGCUGAGGUGCGAAAGCGUGGGGAGCAAACA